AUCUGGGUGAUGAAGAAAAUCGUUUGGAUUCCCACUGAUUUUUCUUGAUUAUUACAACCAGAUACUUCUGACGGAU
Non-coding RNA from Triticum aestivum (bread wheat), 76 nucleotides. NCBI's taxonomy places the organism in Eukaryota, Viridiplantae, Streptophyta, Magnoliopsida, Poales, Poaceae. The record is from Rfam.